Molecule: ribosomal RNA, 399 nt
Filed under: uncultured eukaryote
Lineage: Eukaryota
Description: partial small subunit ribosomal RNA
Rfam family: Eukaryotic small subunit ribosomal RNA
Source: RNAcentral
GCUUGUCUCAAAGAUUAAGCCAUGCAUGUCUCAGUAUAAGCUUGUGCAUAGUGAAACUGCGAACGGCUCAUUAUAACAGUUAUAAUUUGUUUGGUGUUCAAGUUUACAUGGGUAACUGUGGCAAUUCUAGAGCUAAUACAUGCGAAAAGACGGGCCGCAAGGCUUGUUGUAUUUAUUAGAUAAAAAAUCAAUACCUGUUCUGCAGGUCCUAUUGGUGAGUCAUAAUAACUGUUCGAAUCGCAUGCUUCGGCAGGCGAUAGUUCAUUCAAAUUUCUGCCCUAUCAGCUUUCGACGGUAGUGUAGUGGACUACCGUGGCGUUAACGGGUAACGGAGAAUUAGGGUUCGAUUCCGGAGAGGGAGCCUGAGAAAUGGCUACCACAUCCAAGGAAGGCAGCAGG